CGUCCCCGUCGCGCGGCUGAUGCCCGGGGUCAUCGCCCGGCUCCAGUCCUGCCAGCCGGGCUGGUGCCGGCUCGAGGCCGGCGGCCAUGAC
RNAcentral lists this transfer RNA (91 nucleotides) under Alphaproteobacteria bacterium. Its description in RNAcentral is "tRNA-Met". The record is from RNAcentral. Lineage: Bacteria; Pseudomonadati; Pseudomonadota; Alphaproteobacteria.